AUGUUGAAGGCCUCAAACGUGAUCCAGAGAUGGAUCGAGUUCUUUGCAGAUUUUAUGGAAGAUGAUGAUGAUGUAGGUGCUGAGAGAGAUAGCUUAAGGGAUUUUUUGAUAUUUUGGUCUAAGCAGCCGCUAGUUGCAGUUUUGAAGCAGUAUUAUCAAGGCAUUGUUGCACCGUGUCUUGAUUUUCCCGGAUUAUGGAACACGAAGUACGAAUUCAAGUUGGUUUGGUGA
Non-coding RNA from Vicia faba (fava bean), 231 nucleotides. The record is from the annotation of a GenBank genome assembly. NCBI's taxonomy places the organism in Eukaryota, Viridiplantae, Streptophyta, Magnoliopsida, Fabales, Fabaceae.